GGAACCUUAAUUUAAUUAAAGUGUCUGAGUUGCAUUCAGGUGAUGUGAGAUAGAGUCUUGCAGGUUUUA
Molecule: transfer RNA, 69 nt
Filed under: Mantheyus phuwuanensis
Lineage: Eukaryota; Metazoa; Chordata; Lepidosauria; Squamata; Agamidae
Description: tRNA-Ala
Rfam family: tRNA
About the family: Transfer RNA (tRNA) molecules are approximately 80 nucleotides in length. Their secondary structure includes four short double-helical elements and three loops (D, anti-codon, and T loops). Further hydrogen bonds mediate the characteristic L-shaped molecular structure. tRNAs have two regions of fundamental functional importance: the anti-codon, which is responsible for specific mRNA codon recognition, and the 3' end, to which the tRNAs corresponding amino acid is attached (by aminoacyl-tRNA synthetases). tRNAs cope with the degeneracy of the genetic code in two manners: having more than one tRNA (with a specific anti-codon) for a particular amino acid; and 'wobble' base-pairing, i.e. permitting non-standard base-pairing at the 3rd anti-codon position.
Source: RNAcentral